GGUGUGUACAGCUAUAUUUACCUAUCUGUAGAUAAUGGUUACACACACACACACACACACACACAAUCUUGCAUUCAAACACAGUACUUCUCUGUAUGUGUAAGAAAUUAGAAUAGAGAUACUUUAAGCCAGCAGUGCUGGACCUUGAAGAUGAAUAGAAUAGAGUCACUAAACUUUGGAUUCCUUUUCAUCUCCUUUACUGGGAAGGCAGGAGGGAGCAGAGUAUCCUUCAGACUAUGCUAAUCUAAAAAUUAUAUGCUGAUACAGCAAACAAUGAAUAUUCCCCAUGAAGUUUAGAAAAUCAACGAAGGCAACAGAGCCUACUCUGAUUUCUUUGAUCUUUAUGAUAGUUAGAUGACCACUCAAAAGGAACCCUCCAAUAAUACAUUUGAGUAUUUUUUGUCAUAAGUGUUUUUUAAGAAAAAAAUUGUCUUAUGAUAAGGAAUAAAAUUUAUGUAUGUUUUGUGUGUCGUUAUUUUUUUUCCCAAAUAGAUUUUAAAACAAUAGAGCUAAAAAGAAUUAGAAGAGAAUCACAGGAGGAAAAUGACCCAGGAGGGAACAAUCAUCUGGAGCUAUUAAUGGCAGCUGUAUGCUAUGGGGUAUCGCUAAGGGUUAAGCAGUCUAGGACGUGCUCCAUUGUUAUCUUGUGCAAUACUUAUAACCUUGUGAGUCAACACAAAAUUAUUGCUCCCAUUUCACAAAUAAAAAUAUGUAAGCCUGAAGUUGACUUCAAGGUCAUAUAGCCAAUAAGGGUCCCGUUCUCUUCAUCAGUGACUUUCCUCCUGUUCAGUCUUUGACAUAAGACACUUGGGGAGGACUAGAAAUAACUUUGCCAGUCCCUCCACUGUGAGAAGUUUCCUCUCGAAUUAAAACUGGUUUGUUUUUCAGGUAUCCUACAAGGAGGAAGAAACACAUUAGCAGAGACCAGUUGAUGGUCUGAAUUUUGUGAUUAUCUUGAAAACAAACAGGAACCAAGAACGUCACCUUCCUUUAGGGUCUCAUCUUCACCUUGAAUGGGCCGAUAUGCUAUGUGGGUCAUGUUUCUUCCUGGAGUUCUCACCGUUUCCUUAAGCCUUCUUUUCCUCUGCGUGUUGGAAUAGGGAUUCUGUUGUCAUAGAAGUGAUUUGCAAGGUCAUCCUGAGGAAGCACCAAGCUUUGUUGAAUCAGGCACACUCCUGGAGGUCAGACAGGGCGGGCACUUCAUUCAUUUCCUGGAGUUCCUCUCAGCCCUUGAAACUGAUCCUAAUCUGGAAAUUCCUGAAUAUUCUGAACACCCCAACCACAGUGUCCUUGUGGAAAGCGUCACCAAUUGGUUCCAGGGAAUUAUCCUAAUGGGAUUUUUUCAUUUGACACUAUAAUGAGCAAGUUGAAAUUCAAGAACUUGAGGAGAUCUCACCAAAGACAAAGAGAAGGACAUGAAGAGGAUGAUCUUACUCACUUCAAAGUCUGCACAAGGGGUAGUCCCAGCCAUGCAAUCCUUAACAAGACUUUAGUAUUUACCAGUUCUUUAUAGUGACUUCCCAAGAGGCUAUUUCCAUUCAAGCAAUAUCUAUGAUAAUUUCCAAUCUCGCUGCAAUGCUUAUUUUGCAUUUAAUUUUCAAAGCCAUGCUAUUUGAUGUCAC
RNAcentral lists this long non-coding RNA (1622 nucleotides) under Marmota monax (woodchuck). The record is from RNAcentral. Lineage: Eukaryota; Metazoa; Chordata; Mammalia; Rodentia; Sciuridae.